CGGCAUCAUGACUAAGCCUUUACGUGGCGAUGCUAUAAGUAAGAGCUAAACAAGCUGAAACUAAUUAGUC
This 70-nucleotide non-coding RNA is filed under the name unclassified sequences. The record is from RNAcentral.